Molecule: long non-coding RNA, 216 nt
Filed under: Vigna radiata
Lineage: Eukaryota; Viridiplantae; Streptophyta; Magnoliopsida; Fabales; Fabaceae
Description: long non-coding RNA (VRAD_LNC004993)
Source: RNAcentral
CAUUGUAUUCCUUACUUUUGAGCUUAAUGAGAAUAAACUUUUCUAAUUCAGAAAAUUAUUCUCUCUUGAAAGUCAUUGGCUAGAGAGUCCAAAGACCUCUAGCCUCCUUCCAAAGCACACUUCUAUUUUUCAUUUCUCCAUUAAUUUCCAUGGUGCUUCUCACUCAUCCACGCUGAUCCACUCUCUCGCUGCCACCUCCUCUGCCUGUGUCAGCCC